AUUGAACGCUGGCGGCAUGCCUUACACAUGCAAGUCGAACGGCAGCACGGGAGCAAUCCUGGUGGCGAGUGGCGAACGGGUGAGUAAUAUAUCGAAACGUGCCCAGUCGUGGGGGAUAACGUAGCGAAAGCUACGCUAAUACCGCAUACGAUCUACGGAUGAAAGCGGGGGAUCGCAAGACCUCGCGCGAUUGGAGCGGCCGAUAUCAGAUUAGGUAGUUGGUGAGGUAAAGGGCUCACCAAGCCGACGAUCUGUAGCUGGUCUGAGAGGACGACCAGCCACACUGGGACUGAGACACGGCCCAGACUCCUACGGGAGGCAGCAGUGGGGAAUUUUGGACAAUGGGCGGCAAGCCUGAUCCAGCAAUGCCGCGUGCAGGAUGAAGGCCUUCGGUUGUAACU
This 401-nucleotide ribosomal RNA is filed under the name uncultured bacterium. RNAcentral describes it as "bacterial SSU rRNA". It matches the Rfam family "Bacterial small subunit ribosomal RNA", at positions 30 to 431 of the family's 1533-position model. The record is from RNAcentral.